ACAGGCUUAACACAUGCAAGUCGAGGGGCAGCAUGGUCUUAGCUUGCUAAGGCCGAUGGCGACCGGCGCACGGGUGAGUAACACGUAUCCAACCUGCCGUCUACUCUUGGACAGCCUUCUGAAAGGAAGAUUAAUACAAGAUGGCAUCAUGAGUCCGCAUGUUCACAUGAUUAAAGGUAUUCCGGUAGACGAUGGGGAUGCGUUCCAUUAGAUAGUAGGCGGGGUAACGGCCCACCUAGUCUUCGAUGGAUAGGGGUUCUGAGAGGAAGGUCCCCCACAUUGGAACUGAGACACGGUCCAAACUCCUACGGGAGGCAGCAGUGAGGAAUAUUGGUCAAUGGGCGAGAGCCUGAACCAGCCAAGUAGCGUGAAGGAUGACUGCCCUAUGGGUUGUAAACUUCUUUUAUAAAGGAAUAAAGUCGGGUAUGGAUACCCGUUUGCAUGUACUUUAUGAAUAAGGAUCGGCUAACUCCGUGCCAGCAGCCGCGGUAAUACGGAGGAUCCGAGCGUUAUCCGGAUUUAUUGGGUUUAAAGGGAGCGUAGAUGGAUGUUUAAGUCAGUUGUGAAAGUUUGCGGCUCAACCGUAAAAUUGCAGUUGAUACUGGAUAUCUUGAGUGCAGUUGAGGCAGGCGGAAUUCGUGGUGUAGCGGUGAAAUGCUUAGAUAUCACGAAGAACUCCGAUUGCGAAGGCAGCCUGCUAAGCUGCAACUGACAUUGAGGCUCGAAAGUGUGGGUAUCAAACAGGAUUAGAUACCCUGGUAGUCCACACGGUAAACGAUGAAUACUCGCUGUUUGCGAUAUACUGCAAGCGGCCAAGCGAAAGCGUUAAGUAUUCCACCUGGGGAGUACGCCGGCAACGGUGAAACUCAAAGGAAUUGACGGGGGCCCGCACAAGCGGAGGAACAUGUGGUUUAAUUCGAUGAUACGCGAGGAACCUUACCCGGGCUUAAAUUGCAGAUGAAUUACGGUGAAAGCCGUAAGCCGCAAGGCAUCUGUGAAGGUGCUGCAUGGUUGUCGUCAGCUCGUGCCGUGAGGUGUCGGCUUAAGUGCCAUAACGAGCGCAACCCUUGUUGUCAGUUACUAACAGGUUCCGCUGAGGACUCUGACAAGACUGCCAUCGUAAGAUGUGAGGAAGGUGGGGAUGACGUCAAAUCAGCACGGCCCUUACGUCCGGGGCUACACACGUGUUACAAUGGGGGGUACAGAGGGCCGCUACCACGCGAGUGGAUGCCAAUCCCCAAAACCUCUCUCAGUUCGGACUGGAGUCUGCAACCCGACUCCACGAAGCUGGAUUCGCUAGUAAUCGCGCAUCAGCCACGGCGCGGUGAAUACGUUCCCGGGCCUUGUACACACCGCCCGUCAAGCCAUGGGAGCCGGGGGUACCUGAAGUGCGUAACCGCGAGGAGCGCCCUAGGGUAAAACUGGUGACUGGGGCUAAGUCAUA
RNAcentral lists this ribosomal RNA (1444 nucleotides) under uncultured organism. Its description in RNAcentral is "SSU rRNA". It matches the Rfam family "Bacterial small subunit ribosomal RNA". The record is from RNAcentral.